AUGGCGGCCGGUGAGCCGGCGCUCGUUGCCCUCACCGUAGGCGGCGAUGUGCUCCAUGUGCCGCGCCUCGAGCUUCUUGAUCGCCUUCUUGAUCACCUCGUACCCGCCCUCGCUCCUCAUCGACUUGGUGCUGCAUUCAGACAUCAGCAGGAUCAUGUCAUAACCCAUAACACAAGACUAGAGUAUAGCAGACGGCGAUGCAUCCCUUGGCUUGCUCUCUUUAUCUUACCUGUAGUUUGUGUGGGCACCAGCACCAUUCCAUUCUCCCUACAGUCACACACAUAUGCAAAGUUACAUAUGGCUGGCUGGCCAGUGGAACGGCAGAUCAAGGUGACACUUGUGGCACAAGAAGAAGAAGAAGAAAUGCUCACCGGGAUCGGCUUGGGGUCGAAGGAGACGACGACGCCAGCAAUCUCAGUGAUCCUCUAUUGGGUUACACAAAGGAAAAAUUUCUUAUCAGCACAAGUUGCAUUUUAUUCAUUCAUUCAACCAGAUGAGGCGGUUUCAUUUACCUCCAGGAUGUAG
Molecule: ribosomal RNA, 525 nt
Filed under: Triticum aestivum (bread wheat)
Lineage: Eukaryota; Viridiplantae; Streptophyta; Magnoliopsida; Poales; Poaceae
Description: partial small subunit ribosomal RNA
Source: RNAcentral